AUUGAACGCUGGCGGCAUGCCUUACACAUGCAAGUCGAACGGCAGCACGGGUGCUUGCACCUGGUGGCGAGUGGCGAACGGGUGAGUAAUACAUCGGAACAUGUCCUGUAGUGGGGGAUAGCCCGGCGAAAGCCGGAUUAAUACCGCAUACGAUCUACGGAUGAAAGCGGGGGACCUUCGGGCCUCGCGCUAUAGGGUUGGCCGAUAGCUGAUUAGCUAGUUGGUGGGGUAAAGGCCUACCAAGGCGACGAUCAGUAGCUGGUCUGAGAGGACGACCAGCCACACUGUGACUGAGACACGGCACAAACUCCUACGGGAGGCAGCAGUGGGGAAUUUUGGGAGAUGGGCGAAAGGCUAAUCCAGCAAUGCCGCGUGUGUGAAGAAGGCCUUCGGGUUGUAAAGCACUUUUGUCCGGAAAGAAAUCCUUGGCUCUAAUACAGUCGGGGGAUGACGGUACCGGAAGAAUAAGCACCGGCUAACUACGUG
RNAcentral lists this ribosomal RNA (486 nucleotides) under uncultured bacterium. Its description in RNAcentral is "partial 16S ribosomal RNA". It matches the Rfam family "Bacterial small subunit ribosomal RNA", at positions 30 to 507 of the family's 1533-position model. The record is from RNAcentral.